RNAcentral lists this ribosomal RNA (1372 nucleotides) under metagenome. Its description in RNAcentral is "bacterial SSU rRNA". It matches the Rfam family "Bacterial small subunit ribosomal RNA". The record is from RNAcentral.
AGAGUUUGAUCCUGGCUCAGGACGAACGCUGGCGGCGCGCCUAACACAUGCAAGUCGAACGAGCGAGAGAGAGCUUGCUUUCUCGAGCGAGUGGCGAACGGGUGAGUAACGCGUGAGGAACCUGCCUCAAAGAGGGGGACAACAGUUGGAAACGACUGCUAAUACCGCAUAAGCCCAUGGCUCGGCAUCGAGCAGAGGGAAAAGGAGCAAUCCGCUUUGAGAUGGCCUCGCGUCCGAUUAGCUAGUUGGUGAGGUAAUGGCCCACCAAGGCAACGAUCGGUAGCCGGACUGAGAGGUUGAACGGCCACAUUGGGACUGAGACACGGCCCAGACUCCUACGGGAGGCAGCAGUGGGGAAUAUUGCACAAUGGGGGAAACCCUGAUGCAGCGACGCCGCGUGGAGGAAGAAGGUCUUCGGAUUGUAAACUCCUGUUGUUGGGGAAGAUAAUGACGGUACCCAACAAGGAAGUGACGGCUAACUACGUGCCAGCAGCCGCGGUAAAACGUAGGUCACAAGCGUUGUCCGGAAUUACUGGGUGUAAAGGGAGCGCAGGCGGGAAGACAAGUUGGAAGUGAAAUCUAUGGGCUCAACCCAUAAACUGCUUUCAAAACUGUUUUUCUUGAGUAGUGCAGAGGUAGGCGGAAUUCCCGGUGUAGCGGUGGAAUGCGUAGAUAUCGGGAGGAACACCAGUGGCGAAGGCGGCCUACUGGGCACCAACUGACGCUGAGGCUCGAAAGUGUGGGUAGCAAACAGGAUUAGAUACCCUGGUAGUCCACACCGUAAACGAUGAUUACUAGGUGUUGGAGGAUUGACCCCUUCAGUGCCGCAGUUAACACAAUAAGUAAUCCACCUGGGGAGUACGACCGCAAGGUUGAAACUCAAAGGAAUUGACGGGGGCCCGCACAAGCAGUGGAGUAUGUGGUUUAAUUCGACGCAACGCGAAGAACCUUACCAAGUCUUGACAUCCCUUGACAGGCAUAGAAAUAUGUUUUCUCUUCGGAGCAAGGAGACAGGUGGUGCAUGGUUGUCGUCAGCUCGUGUCGUGAGAUGUUGGGUUAAGUCCCGCAACGAGCGCAACCCUUAUGGUCAGUUACUACGCAAGAGGACUCUGGCCAGACUGCCGUUGACAAAACGGAGGAAGGUGGGGAUGACGUCAAAUCAUCAUGCCCUUUAUGACUUGGGCUACACACGUACUACAAUGGCGUUAAACAAAGAGAAGCAAGACCGCGAGGUGGAGCGAAACUCAGAAACAACGUCCCAGUUCGGACUGCAGGCUGCAACUCGCCUGCACGAAGUCGGAAUUGCUAGUAAUCGUGGAUCAGCAUGCCACGGUGAAUACGUUCCCGGGCCUUGUGCACACCGCCCGUCAUA